UGGGGGAUAUUGCACAAUGGAGGGAACUCUGAUGCAGCGACGCCGCGUGAGCGAAGAAGGAAUUCGUUUCGUAAAGCUCUGUCCUAUGGGAAGAUAAUGACGGUACCAUAGAAGAAAGCCCCGGCUAACUACGUGCCAGCAGCCGCGGUAAUACGUAGGGGGCUAGCGUUGUCCGGAAUUAUUGGGCGUAAAGGGUUCGUAGGCGGUGAUACAUGUCAGAUGUGAAAUCUUGUGGCUUAACCACAUUAAGCAUCUGAAACUGUAUGACUUGAGUGAAGGAGAGGUAAGUGGAAUUCCUAGUGUAGCGGUGAAAUGCGUAGAUAUUAGGAAGAAUACCAGUAGCGAAGGCGACUUACUGGCCUUUAACUGACGCUGAUGAACGAAAGCGUGGGUAGCAAACAGG
This 403-nucleotide ribosomal RNA is filed under the name uncultured bacterium. Its description in RNAcentral is "bacterial SSU rRNA". It matches the Rfam family "Bacterial small subunit ribosomal RNA", at positions 355 to 776 of the family's 1533-position model. The record is from RNAcentral.